AUUAUAUAUAUAAUAUAAAAAUUUAUAUAAAAUAUGUAAUUAUAUUCUAUAUAAUAACUAUAGGUACUAUUACAUACUAUAUUAUUAUAUCUAAUAACUAUAUUAUAACUUUAUUAUGAUACAUUAAUAUACUAUUUAAAGGAGAUUUUAAAACUACAAACCUACUUUUUCUAGCUCCCACAUCUAACUCCCAACUCGUGCCCCUCUCUGGAGUUCAAACACAGCUGGGUGGGCUUGGCCACCGGGCUCGAAGCAUCCUCCCCAAAAUCCACCCAAAGAAUUCUCCAGGCGCGUUCCAGGUGGGAACGGCGAGGAGCAGAACCGGGAAUUGAUCCCUGUGCUCCUCCAUGGAAACCCUGGGAGAAAGAACCGGCCUGGCACAGCGCCUGGCAUGGGGGGGAUUGAGCCCGAGGAGGAGGAGGGUGUGAGGAGGAGGAGGGUGUGAGGAUGAGGAUGAGGAGGGGGUGGGGGCUCGGGAAGGGAAGGGAAGGGAAGGGAAGGGAAGGGAAGGGAAGGGAAGGGAAGGGAAGGGAAGGGAAGGGAAGGGGGGGAAGGAGCGGCUCUCACCCCGCGGCUCCGGCCGAGCAGCCGCAGCUCCUCCAGCAGCCCCCGCGGGCUCCGCUCCCGCCGCUCCUGCGCCCCCGCCCGCAGCCACGGGCCCGAGGUGCCCCAGAGCGCGGCCACCAGCGCCAGGGACACAGCCUGCCCUGGGGACAGUGGGGACAGGGUCAGGGACAGGGACAGGGACUGGCCUGGGGGACAAUGGGGACAGAGUUAGAGCCUGGCCUGGGGAACAGGGACAGGGUCAGGGACUGGCCUGGGGGACAAUGGGGACAGGGUCAGAGCCUGGCCUGGGGACAAUGGGGACAGGGUCAGGGACAGGGACAGGGACUGGCCUGGGGACAGUGGGGACAGGGUCAGGGACAGGGACAGGGACUGGCCUGGGGACAGUGGGGACAGGGUCAGGGACAGGGACAGGGACUGGCCUGGGGGACAGGGACAGGGUCAGGGACUGGCCUGGGGGACAGGGACAGGGUCAGAGCCUGGCCUGGGGGACAAUGGGGACAGGGACAGGGACAGGGACAGGGACAGAGACUGGCCUGGGGGACAGGGACAGGGUCAGAGCCUGGCCUGGGGGACAGGGACAGGGUCCGAGCCUGGCCUGGGGGGACAGCAGGAGCUGGAAUUGGGCAAUUAUCCCCAAUAUUUAAAUGGACCAAACUCCUAAAAAUGUGAAAACUUGUGAUGCACUGUCCAUCUUGGGUCUAGCCAAGGCCAGGCUCUCAUGCUGCCCAAGCUGUAUCCUGCCAAGGCUUUGAAUAAAUCCCUGCUUUCCUCUUAGGGUUAGAAGGAA
RNAcentral lists this long non-coding RNA (1354 nucleotides) under Lonchura striata (white-rumped munia). Its description in RNAcentral is "domestica (Bengalese finch) lncRNA (ENSLSDG00000004755.1)". The record is from RNAcentral. Lineage: Eukaryota; Metazoa; Chordata; Aves; Passeriformes; Estrildidae.